Molecule: ribosomal RNA, 251 nt
Filed under: uncultured bacterium
Lineage: Bacteria
Description: partial 16S ribosomal RNA
Rfam family: Bacterial small subunit ribosomal RNA
Source: RNAcentral
ACGUAGGUGGCGAGCGUUAUCCGGAUUUACUGGGUGUAAAGGGCGUGUAGGCGGAUUCUCAAGUUGGAUGUGAAACCCCUUGGCUAAACUGAGGGCUUGCAUUCAAAACUGAGGACCUUGAGUAUCAGAGGGGAAAGUGGAAUUCCUGGUGGAGCGGUAAAAUGCGUAGAGAUCAGGAGGAACACCGGUGGCGAAGGCGACUUUCUGGCUGACAACUGACGCUGAGGCGCGAAAGCGUGGGGAGCAAACAG